UACGUAGGUGGCAAGCGUUGUCCGGAUUUACUGGGCGUAAAGAGCGCUCAGGCGGUCGGAUAAGUCGAAUGUGAAAGCCCCUGGCUCAACCAGGGAGGGUCAUUCGAUACUGUUCGACUCGAAGGCAGGAGAGGGAAGUGGAAUUCCGGGUGUAGUGGUGAAAUGCGUAGAUAUCCGGAGGAACACCAGUGGCGAAGGCGACUUUCUGGCCUGUUCUUGACGCUGAGGCGCGAAAGCUAGGGGAGCAAACGGG
Molecule: ribosomal RNA, 253 nt
Filed under: uncultured bacterium
Lineage: Bacteria
Description: partial 16S ribosomal RNA
Rfam family: Bacterial small subunit ribosomal RNA
Source: RNAcentral